RNAcentral lists this ribosomal RNA (651 nucleotides) under Promicromonospora sp. I10A-02180. Its description in RNAcentral is "bacterial SSU rRNA". It matches the Rfam family "Bacterial small subunit ribosomal RNA", at positions 68 to 734 of the family's 1533-position model. Lineage: Bacteria; Bacillati; Actinomycetota; Actinomycetes; Micrococcales; Promicromonosporaceae. The record is from RNAcentral.
GUGAUGCCCAGCUUGCUGGGUGGAUCAGUGGCGAACGGGUGAGUAACACGUGAGCAACCUGCCCCCUACUUCGGGAUAAGCCUUGGAAACGAGGUCUAAUACCGGAUAUGAGCAUUCACCGCAUGGUGGGUGUUGGAAAGUUUUUCGGUGGGGGAUGGGCUCGCGGCCUAUCAGCUUGUUGGUGGGGUAAUGGCCUACCAAGGCGUCGACGGGUAGCCGGCCUGAGAGGGCGACCGGCCACACUGGGACUGAGACACGGCCCAGACUCCUACGGGAGGCAGCAGUGGGGAAUAUUGCACAAUGGGCGAAAGCCUGAUGCAGCGACGCCACGUGAGGGAUGACGGCCUUCGGGUUGUAAACCUCUUUCAGCAGGGAAGAAGCGAAAGUGACGGUACCUGCAGAAGAAGCGCCGGCUAACUACGUGCCAGCAGCCGCGGUAAUACGUAGGGCGCAAGCGUUGUCCGGAAUUAUUGGGCGUAAAGAGCUCGUAGGCGGUCUGUCGCGUCUGGUGUGAAAUCCCAUGGCUCAACUGUGGGCUUGCAUCGGGUACGGGCAGACUAGAGUGCUGUAGGGGAGACUGGAAUUCCUGGUGUAGCGGUGGAAUGCGCAGAUAUCAGGAGGAACACCGAUGGCGAAGGCAGGUCUCUGGGC